Molecule: long non-coding RNA, 1631 nt
Filed under: Portunus trituberculatus (swimming crab)
Lineage: Eukaryota; Metazoa; Arthropoda; Malacostraca; Decapoda; Portunidae
Description: uncharacterized LOC123509567, transcript variant X1
Source: RNAcentral
ACGAAUACGAAAUGAGAAAUAGAGACGGAAUAGAAGAAGGAUCCAAGGUGUAAUAUUUAAGAUGAGUCUGUGCAGCUAUGUGGCAUUCACGACUGCCGGAAUUAAGAAGAAUGGCGGGUGUGAGCAUUUCUGCGCCAACAUUCGAGAGUCAUACUACUGCCAGUGCCGGCAGAGAUAAUUUGUCUGGAAGUUCAAUUGUGUAGGUGAGGACUGGACUGUCACUGUCACUCUACGACAUUGACGAGUGUGUGGAAUCGCCCGGAUCUUCUCCCUGAAGGACCAUCUCCGCAGCAGUGUUCGGUCCUCCCAGCAGCAGCAACGAUCAGGAGAAGACGGUCAUUGAAGUGUCAAGUUCCCAAGCUGGCAUGGUACUGGGUAUUGUGCUGGGUUCCUUCGGUGUUCUUUGCCUAGCUGCUGGGAUGCUUUUCGGAUUCCUGAAGAUGCGUCGACGUGUUAUCAUCCACAAAAACUUCCCCGACCAAGUGUACCACAAGACAACAGGCACUGAGGAGGACGGGAGCGAACGGCUGCAUGCACCACUGAACAGGACGGCAUUAUAUUCGUCCCACAGGACAGGACUACAGCGAAGCCCAGAGAUUCAGUACUACUAACACCAAAGAAGUGAGGAGAGUGUUUGGAAUGAGAGUGUAAGGCAUACAACAGACACCAGACUGCUACUGCUUGUGUAGCCAAAGGAACAAGAGAAAUAGGAGGAAGAGGAAGAAGAAGAGUGAUUCAUGGAGACGUACUAAUGAAGUUCUGAAGGUUGGCCACAAAUCAUCAUCACUGGUAUAGUGUAUUUUAUAGACCAUUUGUAGAUUGCGUGGAUAAAUUUGUAGAUUUUGUAAACAGAGUUCUAAAUGUGUAAGGGGGAAGGUUUUUUGCAAUGAUUUAUUUAAACCAGUAGAAAAUAGUGAUAUGUAGAAGUUAUGCAUAGCAUUUUCAUAUGAAUGUAUAUAUGUAGGCCUAUAUAGUAUUUAAAAGAGGAGAGCGUAGACCAAGACAGGAAAAUAACCUCUUGGGACACGAGUCCUCUGCUCAUCACUCAUCAUUCCUGUCACCCAUCAUGAUCGUUUAUGCCUUAAGGACCAAAUGACCAACAUGUUCACUCCAUGCUGGAAUUCACCAUGGAGAAACACGUAAUGAAUGUUGACAACUUUUCUUGUUAGGAGACGCUAUAUUUAUAGUGAGGGACUGUAUCGAGCAUGCUGGCUAGUCAGACAUGAUGUGUCUUGCUGCCAGGCCAUGACAGUAGAUUAGUACCAAGUUGUAGUUUUUAAGGGUAAUAGUAGUGGAGUGCUUCUCACCCUAUUGCAAUGUGUGAUGUAGACGUGGUUCUGUCUGACGGAAACAAGUAGUGAUUACAAGAACCUUUUCCUUCUUGUGUGUCUCAAAGAUAGACUAUAAAUUAAAGUGUCUUUUAUGUUUUCUGGGGUGAAGCACAAAGGUAUUGUUACGCGUUUCCGAAGAUGAUGUUUUGUGAGUCUUUCAAUGCAAUACUUAAAUUAAGUUUCUGGCCAAUGUCUUAUCACGUGCUGCAGUUUUUGUUACUUAUAUUUAUUUUGUAUACCUAUUGAUAUGACAACAUCUUGUGAAUGAUACUCCUGUAUAUUUCUAAUGGCAACACAAUA